Molecule: ribosomal RNA, 164 nt
Filed under: uncultured bacterium
Lineage: Bacteria
Description: partial 16S rRNA
Rfam family: Bacterial small subunit ribosomal RNA
Source: RNAcentral
UAGGGAAUCUUCCACAAUGGGCGCAAGCCUGAUGGAGCAACACCGCGUGAGUGAAGAAGGGUUUCGGCUCGUAAAGCUCUGUUGUUAAAGAAGAACACGUAUGAGAGUAACUGUUCAUACGUUGACGGUAUUUAACCAGAAAGUGACGGCUAAAUACGUGCCAG